GAUGAACGCUGGCGGCGUGCCUAAUACAUGCAAGUCGAGCGAACAGACGAGGAGCUUGCUCCUCUGACGUUAGCGGCGGACGGGUGAGUAACACGUGGAUACCCUACCUAUAAGACUGGGAUAACUUCGGGAAACCGGAGCUAAUACCGGAUAAUAUAUUGAACCGCAUGGUUCAAUAGUGAAAGACGGUUUUGCUGUCACUUAUAGAUGGAUCCGCGCCGCAUUAGCUAGUUGGUACGGUAACGGCUUACCAAGGCGACGAUGCGUAGCCGACCUGAGAGGGUGAUCGGCCACACUGGAACUGAGACACGGUCCAGACUCCUACGGGAGGCAGCAGUAGGGAAUCUUCCGCAAUGGGCGAAAGCCUGACGGAGCAACGCCGCGUGAGUGAUGAAGGUCUUCGGAUCGUAAAACUCUGUUAUUAGGGAAGAACAAAUGUGUAAGUAACUAUGCACGUCUUGACGGUACCUAAUCAGAAAGCCACGGCUAACUACGUG
This 497-nucleotide ribosomal RNA is filed under the name uncultured bacterium. Its description in RNAcentral is "partial 16S ribosomal RNA". It matches the Rfam family "Bacterial small subunit ribosomal RNA", at positions 28 to 507 of the family's 1533-position model. The record is from RNAcentral.